Molecule: non-coding RNA, 1950 nt
Organism: Zootermopsis nevadensis
Lineage: Eukaryota; Metazoa; Arthropoda; Insecta; Blattodea; Termopsidae
Source: RefSeq, a predicted model, not a curated record
GAACUGUGCUGGUGGCAUGUUCUGCUCUACUAAAACGACACUUCACUACCGACGUCUGACUGAGGAGGUCACUCGUUCCGUCUGCUUCAGAAUUCAGCCGUUGCUUAUCUGAGAAACACUUCAGCGGGAGGCGUAGCUCACUUGUCUCUGUCGCGUGAGACAGUUGAACGUCACAAUGGCGCAGUUAUUCGUAUGAACUGUCCUUGGAAUCUGUUUGUCAGUGGUUAAUACAUCGCUGCUAGUUUUAUAUCAUAUGUGACGUGAAAAAAUAUUCAAGAACCUCGUGUUAAACAGUGAUUUAUGUAAGACAGUGGACAGAUUAUCUUUCGAAGAGCUUACUAAACUACAAAAGACUGUUCAAUGCAAAUAGACGUCACUGGAUUCAACAAAUACGUCCACAGAAGUACAACGUAACAUGUAAAGAACAGAUUACUCAUUAAUUUGGCUUCGGACUGACAAUUAACCUAGAAAAAAUGUUACGUUUGUCUCUUACAGUGACAAACCGACGAAGUUGUAUUCUUUUGGUGCUGUUAAUAACGUUAACACGAGGCUAUGACGUCACUGCAGCCUGUUGGGACUCGAAAGACGCCGUAUCCAUGGCAACACGCCACGCUACUGCGAUUUUUACAGGAAAAGUGAAUUCUCUGACGCAUUCUGACAAUGGCGAAGUCACAGCAGUUAUUACGGUGAAAAGGGUUUUUAAAAAAAUUAACAACGUCGGUGUGUUUGAAAAUUUAAACGCCGGAGAGAGCGUUAGAGUAAGAAUAAUAAGAAGUAGGACGUCGAUUUUAAACGUAAAAAAAUAUCACCACGUGGGUAAAUUCACAGAAGCGGCAGUGGAUUUACGGCCGAUUUUGGACGAUCUGAACUGUUCGUCGAGUGUGACGGGCGAUUAUUCUGUCUUUCCAGGAGUGAAUUUUGUGAAAAAGUUACGAGUGAAAGACACUAAAAUAUUUCUGGCGAGGAAAUUAGAGUUUCGACGCGAGGGGCUGCUGACAUCUGUCAGAGAAGACCCGUACAUGGAGCUGGACUGGCCACCCCUGCCCCUGAAACUGGACAUUCUGGACAGGAUAUCUGCCGCAGUUAAAGGAGCGGUCGUUUCAAGACGGGACAUGCACUUAACUGGGUAGACUUGAUGGGCAGCGCAUUUAGAACGUCUGUCAAAUCGAUUGAGUACGUCGCUGUGAAGUUAUCAACUGGCUGAGAGCAGAUUAUUUUGAAAUGACAUUGAUGGACAUUGUGGGUCAUCUGUAGCGUGAAAUACCUUGAUGAAUCGAACAUGUAUCAUGUGCCAAAAACAAGAAACGAGACGUAAACCAGAGCAGUUAUUACCAAACGCAACAGAGAGACGUGUGUUUUGAUUUAUAAAUGGUGUUAAGUUUCACAAACUGGCACUCGCCUGCUAAAUGAGCUGGUUUCUUACUCUCGGAGGUUAAAUGAAGACACGCCCUUCAUGAGGUCGACUCCCAGAUUGUACGGCGUCAUGACCCACAGGGCCACGACAUAGAAGAACGUCUUUGGUGAUUAUGACGAUGGCAUGAAAGGCGUUGGUAACCAGGAGACAAGGCAACACGCGAAACAGGACUGGAAAAGUGUGUUUUUUAUAGCGCGCUGAAAUUAGAAAGGCGUUCUUUACGCGACAUCGCGCCUGGGUCGUUAAUGCAGUGACGUGAUAGGAGUAUUUUUUUUGGGGGACUUGGGAAAUUAUUGCACUAAUGUAAUCCCAGAUCACACAGCGUGAGUUCUCGUUCAGAAAGAGGACUUUCGGCCAUGCACGUUGAGUAUCCCGUGAAAACAAUGACCCCCGGUCAUGCAGGCUGAGUAUCCCCGUGAAACCCCGGCUAUACACGUUGAGUACCCCUGCAGGAAUCAUGAUGAUCCCUCUUUCAUACACGUUGAAUACCCCAGCAUGGAAACUGACACCCCCCUCCCCCGGUCAUUUAGAUUGAG